AUUGAACGCUGGCGGCAGGCUUAACACAUGCAAGUCGAGCGGAGUGAUGGUGCUUGCACUAUCACUUAGCGGCGGACGGGUGAGUAAUGCUUAGGAAUCUGCCUAUUAGUGGGGGACAACAUCUCGAAAGGGAUGCUAAUACCGCAUACGUCCUACGGGAGAAAGCAGGGGAUCUUCGGACCUUGCGCUAAUAGAUGAGCCUAAGUCGGAUUAGCUAGUUGGUGGGGUAAAGGCCUACCAAGGCGACGAUCUGUAGCGGGUCUGAGAGGAUGAUCCGCCACACUGGGACUUAAACACGGCCCAGACUCCUACGGGAGGCAGCAGUGGGGAAUAUUGGACAAUGGGCGCAAGCCUGAUCCAGCCAUGCCGCGUGUGUGAAGAAGGCCUUAUGGUUGUACAGCACUUUAAGCGAGGAGGAGGCUACUUUAGUUAAUACCCAAGAUGAGUGGACGUUACUCGCAGAAUAAGCACCGGCUAACUCUGUGCCAGCAGCCGCUGUAA
This 501-nucleotide ribosomal RNA is filed under the name uncultured bacterium. RNAcentral describes it as "partial 16S ribosomal RNA". It matches the Rfam family "Bacterial small subunit ribosomal RNA", at positions 30 to 523 of the family's 1533-position model. The record is from RNAcentral.